GGCAACAGCUCAAAUUUGAAAUCUGGCCCCCUCGGGGCCCGAGUUGUAAUUUGUAGAGGAUGUUUCGGGUGUGGCUCCGGUCUAAGUUCCUUGGAACAGGACGUCAUAGAGGGUGAGAAUCCCGUAUGUGACUGGCAGCCUACGCCCAUGUGAAACUCCUUCGACGAGUCGAGUUGUUUGGGAAUGCAGCUCAAAAUGGGUGGUAAAUUUCAUCUAAAGCUAAAUAUUGGCCAGAGACCGAUAGCGCACAAGUAGAGUGAUCGAAAGAUGAAAAGCACUUUGGAAAGAGAGUUAAACAGUACGUGAAAUUGUUGAAAGGGAAGCGCUUGCAACCAGACUUGCGUGCGGCCGAUCAUCCGGUGUUCUCACCGGUGCACUCGGUCGUGCUCAGGCCAGCAUCGGUUUCGGCGGCUGGAUAAAGGCCAUGGGAAUGUAGCUCCUCUCGGGGAGUGUUAUAGCCCGUGGUGCAAUGCAGCCCGCUGGGACCGAGGACCGCGCUUCGGCUAGGAUGCUGGCGUAAUGGUUGUAAGCGACCCGUCUUGAAACACGGACCAAGGAGUCUAACAUCUAUGCGAGUGUUUGGGUGUCAAACCCAUACGCGGAAUGAAAGUGAACGGAGGUGAGAACCCUUAAGGGUGCAUCAUCGACCGAUCCUGAUGUCUUCGGAUGGAUUUGAGUAAGAGCAUAGCUGUUGGGACCCGAAAGAUGGUGAACUAUGCCUGAAUAGGGUGAAGCCAGAGGAAACUCUGGUGGAGGCUCGCAGCGGUUCUGACGUGCAAAUCGA
RNAcentral lists this ribosomal RNA (784 nucleotides) under Darkera picea. Its description in RNAcentral is "eukaryotic LSU rRNA". It matches the Rfam family "Eukaryotic large subunit ribosomal RNA", at positions 100 to 901 of the family's 3401-position model. Lineage: Eukaryota; Fungi; Ascomycota; Leotiomycetes; Phacidiales; Phacidiaceae. The record is from RNAcentral.